RNAcentral lists this ribosomal RNA (861 nucleotides) under Micrococcus luteus. RNAcentral's name for it is "bacterial SSU rRNA". It matches the Rfam family "Bacterial small subunit ribosomal RNA", at positions 512 to 1425 of the family's 1533-position model. Lineage: Bacteria; Bacillati; Actinomycetota; Actinomycetes; Micrococcales; Micrococcaceae. The record is from RNAcentral.
CAGCGCGUAUAAUAGGUGGAGCGUAUCUGAAUAUUGGCGCAAGAGUCGUAGCAGUUGUCGAUAUGUCGGAAGUACGGGCUACCCCCGAUCUACGGCGGUCCGGCAGCUAGAUGCAGUAGGGAGACUGAUUCCUGGUGAGCGGGGAUGCGCAGUAUCAGGAGAACACCAUGGAGAGGCAGGUCUCUGGUUGUAAUGACGCGAGGAGCGAAGCAUGGGAGCGAACAGGAUAAAUACCCGGUAGUCCUGCCGUAACAUUGGCAUUAGGUGUGGGACCAUUCCACGGUUCCGCGCCGCAGCUACGCAUUAAGUGCCCCGCCUGGGAGUACGGCGCAAGGAUAAACUCAAAGGAAUUAGGGGGGCCCCACAAGCGGCGAGCAUGCGGAUUAAUUCGAGGCGCGCGAAGAACCUUUCCACGGCUGGACAUGUUCUAGAUCGCCGUAGAGAUACGGUUUCCCCUUGGGGCGGGUUCACAGGUGGUGCAUGGUUGUCGUCAGCUCGUGUCGUGAGAUGUUGGGUUAAGUCCCGCAACGAGCGCAACCCUCUUUCCAUGUUGCCAGCACGUCGUGGUGGGGACUCAUGGGAGACUGCCGGGGUCAACUCGGAGGAAGGGGAGGAGGAGGUCAAAUCAUAAUGCCCCUUAUGUCGUGGGCUUCACGCAUGUUCCAAAGGCCGGUACAAUGGGUGCGAUACUGUGAGGUGGAGCUAAUCCCAAAAAACCGGUCUCAGUUCGGAUUGGGGUCUGCAACUCGACCCCAUGAAGUCGGAGUCGCUAGUAAUCGCAGAUCAGCAACGCUGCGGUGAAUACGUUCCCGGGCCUUGUACACCCCGCCCGUCAAGUCACGAAAGGUGGGAACACCCGAA